RNAcentral lists this ribosomal RNA (632 nucleotides) under Halococcus sp. RNAcentral describes it as "bacterial SSU rRNA". It matches the Rfam family "Archaeal small subunit ribosomal RNA", at positions 43 to 676 of the family's 1478-position model. Lineage: Archaea; Methanobacteriati; Methanobacteriota; Halobacteria; Halobacteriales; Halococcaceae. The record is from RNAcentral.
AUUCAGCCAUGCUAGUUGUACGGGUUUAGACCCGUAGCAAAUAGCUCCGUAACACGUGGUCAAACUACCCUCUGGACCGGAAUACCCUCGGGAAACUGAGGCUAAUUCCGGAUACUGCUUUCAUGUUGGAACACAGAAAGUCGGAAACGGUCCGCCGCCGGAGGACGUGACUGCGGCCGAUUAGGUAGACGGUGGGGUAACGGCCCACCGUGCCGAUAAUCGGUACGGGUUGUGAGAGCAAGAACCCGGAGACGGUAUCUGAGACAAGAUACCGGGCCCUACGGGGCGCAGCAGGCGCGAAACCUUUACACUGCACGCCAGUGCGAUAAGGGGACCCCGAGUGCGAGGGCAUACAGUCCUCGCUUUUCGUGACCGUAAGAAGGUCUCAGAAUAAGAGCUGGGCAAGACCGGUGCCAGCCGCCGCGGUAAUACCGGCAGCUCGAGUGAUAGCCACUAUUAUUGGGCCUAAAGCGUCCGUAGCCGGCCGAACAGGUCCGUCGGGAAAUCCACCUGCUCAACGGGUGGACGUCCGGCGGAAACCAGUCGGCUUGGGGCCGGGAGACCAGAGAGGUACGUCCGGGGUAGGAGUGAAAUCCUGUAAUCCUGGACGGACCGCCGGUAGCGAAAGCGUC